GAGAGCCGGAUGCAUAACGAAAGGUGCACGUCCGGUUCGGGGAGAGGGCAAGCGAAACCGGUAGUUGUGAAACUACACAGGCGCGCUUGCCCUACUCUAC
Molecule: non-coding RNA, 100 nt
Organism: Spirosoma linguale DSM 74
Lineage: Bacteria; Pseudomonadati; Bacteroidota; Cytophagia; Cytophagales; Cytophagaceae
Source: Rfam